ACGCGAAGAACCUUACCUACCCUUGACAUGCCAGGAAGCUUGCCGAGAGGUGAGUGUGCCCGAAAGGGAGCCUGGACACGGGUGCUGCAUGGCUGUCGUCAGCUCGUGUCGUGAGAUGUUGGGUUAAGUCCCGCAACGAGCGCAACCCUUGUCACUAGUUGCUACGCAAGGGCACUCUAGUGAGACUGCCGGUGACAAACCGGAGGAAGGUGGGGAUGACGUCAAGUCCUCAUGGCCCUUAUGGGUAGGGCUUCACACGUCAUACAAUGGCGCAUACAGAGGGCUGCCAACCCGCGAGGGGGAGCCAAUCCCAGAAAGUGCGUCGUAGUCCGGAUUGCAGUCUGCAACUCGACUGCAUGAAGUCGGAAUCGCUAGUAAUCGCGGAUCAGCAAUGUCGCGGUGAAUACGUUCCCGGGUCUUGUACACACCG
This 430-nucleotide ribosomal RNA is filed under the name uncultured bacterium. RNAcentral describes it as "bacterial SSU rRNA". It matches the Rfam family "Bacterial small subunit ribosomal RNA", at positions 959 to 1392 of the family's 1533-position model. The record is from RNAcentral.